AUUGAACGCUGGCGGCAUGCCUUACACAUGCAAGUCGAACGGCAGCACGGGUGCUUGCACCUGGUGGCGAGUGGCGAACGGGUGAGUAAUACAUCGGAACGUACCUUAUCGUGGGGGAUAACGCAGCGAAAGCUGUGCUAAUACUGCAUACGCCCUGAGGGGGAAAGCGGGGGAUCGCAAGACCUCGCGCGAUUAGAGCGGCCGAUGCCUGAUUAGCUUGUUGGUGGGGUAAAAGCCCAACAAGGCGACGAUCAGUAGCUGGUCUGAGAGGACGAGCAGCCACACUGGGAUUGGGACACGGACCAGACGCAGACGGGAGGCAGCAGUGGGGAAUUUUGGACAAUGGGGGCAACGCUGAUCCAGCAAUGCCGCGUGAGUGAAGAGGGCCUUCGGGUUGUAAAGCUCUUUUGUCAGGGAAGAAACACCGGCUCUAACACAGUCUGGGAAUGACGGUACCUGAAGAAUAAGCACCGGCUAACUACGUGCCAGCCGCCGCGGUAA
This 501-nucleotide ribosomal RNA is filed under the name uncultured bacterium. Its description in RNAcentral is "partial 16S ribosomal RNA". It matches the Rfam family "Bacterial small subunit ribosomal RNA", at positions 29 to 523 of the family's 1533-position model. The record is from RNAcentral.